Molecule: ribosomal RNA, 354 nt
Filed under: uncultured soil bacterium
Lineage: Bacteria
Description: bacterial SSU rRNA
Rfam family: Bacterial small subunit ribosomal RNA
Source: RNAcentral
AGGAUGAACGCUGGCGGCGUGCUUAACACAUGCAAGUCGAACGAUGAAGCAGUGCUUGCUCUGUGGAUUAGUGGCGAACGGGUGAGUAACACGUGAGUAACCUGCCCUUGACUCUGGAAUAAGCGUUGGAAACGACGUCUAAUACCGGAUACGAGCUUCCGCCGCAUGGGUGAGGAGCUGGAAAGAAUUUCGGCAAGGAUGGACUCGCGGCCUAUCAGGUAGUUGGUGAGGUAAUGGCUCACCAAGCCUACGACGGGUAGCCGGCCUGAGGAGGGUCGACCGGCCACGACGUGGAACUGACGACACGGUCCAGACUCCGUACGGGAGCAGCAGGUGGGAAUAUGACACAAGUGG